AGCGAACGCUGGCGGCAGGCCUAACACAUGCAAGUCGAACGAAGUCUUCGGACUUAGUGGCGGACGGGUGAGUAACACGUGGGAACGUGCCCUUUGGUACGGAAUAACUCAGGGAAACUUGAGCUAAUACCGUAUGUGCCCUUCGGGGGAAAGAUUUAUCGCCAUUGGAGCGGCCCGCGUCUGAUUAGCUAGUUGGUGAGGUAAAGGCUCACCAAGGCGACGAUCAGUAGCUGGUCUGAGAGGAUGAUCAGCCACAUUGGGACUGAGACACGGCCCAAACUCCUACGGGAGGCAGCAGUGGGGAAUCUUGCGCAAUGGGCGAAAGCAUGACGCAGCCAUGCCGCGUGAAUGAUGAAGGUCUUAGGAUUGUAAAAUUCUUUCACCGGGGACGAUAAUGACGGUACCCGGAGAAGAAGCCCCGGCUAACUUCGUGCCAGCCGCCGCCGUAA
This 449-nucleotide ribosomal RNA is filed under the name uncultured bacterium. Its description in RNAcentral is "partial 16S ribosomal RNA". It matches the Rfam family "Bacterial small subunit ribosomal RNA", at positions 29 to 523 of the family's 1533-position model. The record is from RNAcentral.